RNAcentral lists this ribosomal RNA (498 nucleotides) under uncultured bacterium. RNAcentral's name for it is "partial 16S ribosomal RNA". It matches the Rfam family "Bacterial small subunit ribosomal RNA", at positions 28 to 507 of the family's 1533-position model. The record is from RNAcentral.
GACGAACGCUGGCGGCGUGCCUAAUACAUGCAAGUCGAACGAGAGCGACCGGUGCUUGCACUGGUCAAUCUAGUGGCGAACGGGUGAGUAACACGUGGGUAACCUGCUCAUCAGAGGGGGAUAACAUCCGGAAACGGAUGCUAAAACCGCAUAGGUCUUCGAGCCGCAUGGCUUGAAGAGGAAAAGAGGCGCAAGCUUCUGCUGAUGGAUGGACCCGCGGUGCAUUAGCUAGUUGGUGAGGUAACGGCUCACCAAGGCCGUGAUGCAUAGCCGACCUGAGAGGGUGAUCGGCCACGUUGGGACUGAGACACGGCCCAAACUCCUACGGGAGGCAGCAGUAGGGAAUCUUCCGCAAUGGACGCAAGUCUGACGGAGCAACGCCGCGUGAGUGAAGAAGGUUUUCGGAUCGUAAAACUCUGUUGUUAGAGAAGAACAAGUGCUAGAGUAACUGUUAGCGCCUUGACGGUAUCUAACCAGAAAGCCACGGCUAACUACGUG